GUGUGUGUGUUUUCUGUUUCUAAGCGCCACCUGGUUAAAGCCAGCGUGUGCGAUAAACAGCGUGUAGAGCGUGAGAUAGCCCCUUGUGUACACACGCAUACCAGUUCAAAAUAUGCGCUGGUCGCUACACUCGCUGUUCAACCGAUGAGCAGAUGUGUAAGGGUAGCGAAGUAUUGAGGUGUAAAUAAAGCAGUUUAGGCACUUUUUUUCCUUCGUUCAGUCACAUGGAAUUGGCCGCGUGUGCCUGACUGUGCGUAUGUGUAUGCGUAUGAUAGCGCAAGUGGAGUAUUCUAAAGCUCUAAUAUCUACUCAGCUUCAACAUAUCGACCCUGUGUCUAUUGGUAUUAUUAGUGAAGUUAUUAGAGUAACCUCCGGGAAGUCCUCUGGAUGCAUGUCCGUAUUUUACGGUUCAAUAUUUUAACCUCAAACAUAGUAUCCACUCAACAUUCAGAUUGUGCUGUAAUCUUACAACUGUAAGAUAAAAUAUCUCUCUCACUUAACGCGCUCUCUUUCUCUCUCUCGCUCGAUCUGGGUCUCCUCGCUCUUCCCAAGAACGGCGCAUAAACCGUCGGGACCAUCAACCAGGAACAAAGGAAAACCCAUCGUGCUGCUGCUGCUGCUGGUGCUGCUACACAACACCACUUGGAUGUAUCGACCAAAAGGGAAAGACCCCGAAAGCAAUCUACCGACCAACACCAACACUAGCUCACCAGCCCUGGCAGAACCACCUCCCACCCUAUUCCCUUUGCUGCCCUUCCCUGCAGCACACCGCCAGCCACCGGGAUAGGUCCGGCCCCGGCUUAACGAAAACUACACACACAAUCCGCAAACGCAUCUGCGAUUAAAAGAAAAAGCGGAGAAGAAGAGAUGCAAGAGAAGCAAGAAUGCAGCGAAACAGCACGCACGCACACCACAACACACGCACACACAUACCGCGUCACGGUGGCCCAUCGUACACACAAAAGCUGUUCAUCACUGAUGGUGACUGAACUCCAACAACUUCGUGAAGCAAUCUAACCACAGUGAAUCGCCUAAAAAACGCAUUUAACGCGAGUAGUGAGCACCAACAAGGGUAAUGUGUGUUUACAACAACAAUUGGCUUCUUCUUCUUCUUUCUUGGCCCUACAACCUCAAGAGGUCUCGGUCUGUCAUUUAUGGCUUGUGAAGACCGGCGCCGCUAUCGCCUCGGCCACCGGACCGCCCCGUUCACAAUUGGCAGCCGGAACAAAGAUAAUGCUGCGGGGACAGUCCCAUGACCGAUGCCGGUGGAAGCUGUGCACCGGGACCGAUCAUCAAAUCCCAUCCAGAUGCCGUCUCCCGGCGAGGACAAAAAACCAGAAGUUAGCCAGAAAUUGAGGCAACCCGUGUCCGCUCAACGGCUACCAAAUGAAAAAUGCUUAGGAAUGCGAAGGAAAAAUCACCACUUUUCACCACAUUUUUUGGCCACUCAGGGGCAGUGUGUGCAUCCCAGGACAGGGACAAUAAGGAAAUGUUUGCCAACAAUUUUCUAACACAUACUCCACCUUCGCUGGUACAACAGUAUUGCAAGAAACCACGAAAAAUGCACAUUCAACCACUAAACCAACAAAUCUUCACGAUUCCGGAUUUCGUGGGUGGAUGGGUGGCCCGCGCACUUAAAAGGAAAGGAAAAGAAAGCGCACACAGAAGAGAAGAGACAGAAGAAAGAUAAAUAUAAAUAAACAAUCAAACCCCAUUUGAUGGGUCUGUGGAGCUGCUUGUGGGCGCAGUUUUAAAAUGCACCUCAUCCACCGCUUGCCGUCCCAUCCUACUCCCUGCCCCGCCUCCUCCAAUGCAUUAUAUGAGGGGUCGUAAAAGUAGAGAAGCUAUAUCUGUGUGUUCUCGCUGGAGCAGAUCUGUUGUUUAUGUUUUGGUUUUCUGUUGAUUUAUUUUCGAUACCACAAUAAUACUGUGUCGAUCUGGUUUUUUUUUAUUAUGCUAGGUUUACUUUUCUGUUUUUCGUUUCAUUUACUGACGCUUUUUGUGUGUUUGUGUGCAGUUUUUGCAUAAUUAAUUUCUGAUUUAUUGCAUUGUUUAUACUUUUAGGGGCUCUACAAUCUAGGGGAGGUGUUGGUAUGCCAAUGCAGACUUUCCUGACUUAGUUUACCCGCAGCUAGAUAUUCAGUCUAGCGUACGGAGAGACGAUUUUCUCGAUAUCUGGUCUUGCCGCGGCGCUGGUCUUCACACGACAGGACAGGGGGGGUUCAAAUCCCAUCCAGAUUCGCUUCCCCGUAAGUAGGACUGACUAGUUUACUACGGGUAAAACUAAGUCACAGAAAGCAAGAAAUGGCAGGGCGAGACAUCUCAAGGCUCUAGUGCCAAAGAAGAAGAAGAAGAAGAAGAAGAAGAAGAAGGUCUUGCCGCGUGACGAGCCUCACCGCUAUCGCCACGGCUGCCGGACUGACGCUACAAAAUCAGAUCAGGGAUCGUUUGUGAUUAAGAGCAUCGGCAAAGAAAUCAAAAUUGUAUGAUAAUAAGAAACUCUUAAAGUCAUCAGAACAUAGCUUUAGAGCAAAUAUAUAAUUAAAAUUGAUCUACAUAUAGCGUAAAUGCAUGUGACUUUGACAUGUCAGCCCACCUUACGCCUCGAUGAAAUUUAAACAGCGAACAAAAUUCUAGCUGGACAUGACGUUAACGUUGACGAAAUAUUGGCUUAGCUUAACAAUAAUAAUCGAAAAUUUGCGCCGGUCUUCAUACGGCAGGACCGGGGCUCAAAUCUCAUCCGAACUGUUUCCCUGUAAUCAGCACUGACUAUCCAACUGCGUGGUAUCGUGGCAGGCAUGAUCUAAGAGGUCGUUAGUCCAAAGAAGAAGAAGAAGUAGCAGUAAAUAAAAGACACAGCGGGUAAAACACGACAUAUUCUUCGAAAACUUCCUAAGUACUGUGACAAUUAAAAAGGAAGCAUAAUAGGGCGGGCCUGAAGGUGGAGGCAACAAGGGGCGCUGGACUUCAUACGGCAGGACCGGGGUUCAAACUACCCAAUUACGUGGUAUCUUUGAGUCUAGUAAGCCAGAAAUGGCAGGCAUGACAUAAAGAGGUCGUUAUGCCAAAGAAGAAGAAGUAGAAUAGGCAUGAGUCACACUGUAAAUGGUCAAAAAAACACAAAUUUAGAAAAAAAAAACUGGAUUUCAGCAGCAACACAACGGACUCUAGAAGGCAGAUGACAUAAGCUUAUAUUUGCGAUUCAGUCGUCAAUUUUCGAAUAUGAGUAGAGAACAGUGAGUUCUUCUCUUCGGCUAUCCUCUGCUUCGACAAAAACAAGAAGCGAUACAUCAGGACCGCUAAUCAACUUCGAUCCCGCAACAGUCUCCUGCGAUUGACUAUCCAGCCAGAGGUGCAUUUAAUAAAGGCAGAAUAAAGGAAAUCACAACAAGGGUAUACCAAAACCUCCCAAGGUUACGAGUGGCAGCCCGAGAAGAGGAGUAAGAAAAAGAAAUUGCAUCUUCAAACCGUUGCAACAUCCUCAAAAUUAAUUAGUUGCCUUCGUUCGUUCGCAUCAAAAUUUUUAGUUAAUUAAUAUUAUAUGGAGCCCCCAUAGCUUAAACUUUAAUUUUAUGUACCGAAAGAAUUAACACAACCCUCAGCUCAGAGCAUCUUUAGCAUCAUUAAUUCGGCACACACAUGCACACGCGCACGUAUACACAUUGUCUGAUGCCCAUGUGCAGUUUACACUGCAAUCGAAUUAGCAUAUUAUUUGCACUUCGCGAGAGCCGCUUACGAAUCUGACAGAGAGAGAGAGAGAGAGAGAGGUGCGUUUUUUAUGAUCUUCCACAAGAUUAAAGCAGACCCGUUAAAGGCACUACUGGUACGGCGUCGUUGCCGAUGCGUCAUAUGCACCUGUAUCAACAUCGUUCGGCCCGAAGUUCCCGGAGCUAGGUAUGGUUUUCUACCUGCGAAACCCUGAAGCGUGCGCGCUGGUGGCAAGAGUAUCGUCGGAAUCCUUCUCUCUUGUCUGCAACAGCUGUGGUGAAGCAGAUUUCUUUUUAUUACUGCGUACGACAAGAGUUCUCAGAUUUCGGCGGUUUAUGGAUGGCAAUGAAUUCCAUCCUUCCAAACGCGUUUGGUUCAAUCGAGACAUCAUUGGCGUUCGAUGUAUUUUGCAUCGAACGAUCGAGGCAGACGAUCGUUCUAACCUGCAGCAUGCGGGCAAACGAACGAGGAUACAGUAUUUUCCAGGUCGUAAAACAAGCAUCCAUAUGUUUAAACCAGUACGCAAGGGGCAUAAGUUACCAUUGCUCUCUGAAGCUUGAGGCAAAGAAUGAGGCAAAAAUGUUUUAAACAGCUGAAUAAUUGAAACAAAACAAUCAGUCCUUUUGAAAUAAUGCUUCAGUAGUUACUUUUGUGUAGAAUUUACUUUAACAUCAGUUUAAUCUUUAAGAAAAGUUUUGAGUCACCAAGAAUAGAGCAACGCUGUCGGAUGCUAUGCUAUACAAUGUUGCAGUAAUGUAAUUCAAAGUGUGACACAUUCCUUUUCCGCUUUCUCUCUGUUUUGUUCUCGCGAUAUCUCUCUCUCGCUUUUUGUCUCACUCUCUUUCUCUCCAUAUAGCAGGACAUUUAAAUUUGGAAAGUGCACAGGAGAAGCAGAAGGAAAGCAAUUGGAAAAAAACUGCAUCUCAUAUUACCCCGGAGUUGUAAAAGGGGGAGGAUAGUUUCAAGGUUAGAGAAACUCUUGCAACGUGUGCACAUGUGUGAGUGUUAUGACGCUUUCGAGAUGACUGCCCAACAAGCGAUCCCUGGCUAGGCGCACAGGAUAAACAAUUGCGAAACGGGUAAGACCUAGCCCGCCGGGAGACGGACGGCACUUUAUAGGGCACCCCCUUCUUGACGCCAUUUUUCCGACUGUAAGGCCUAGAUUAUGUCAUGGAAUGUUCAACGCUUGGGGUGGGGUGUUUUUGCCCGUAACAAAUCUAAAGUAAUCAAUAUCCAACCGCUCGUCAGAACAUCCGGCCGCUACACUCAAGGUCGACGCUAGGAGGAUCCAUCCAUCAACAUCGAUGGCAGUUACGGAGAGCCUGUCAAAAAACGAUUCACUUUCUACGGGUGACUCGCGCAAAUCGCGCUCGUAACAUUGUACAAAACUAUUAAAAGGCUAUGUUACACAUUGGAAUUCCACUGAACCUGAGCAAAAGACACGACCCAUGGGGUUACGCCUAAUGAGCGAUAACAAUAGCAUCGACCACCCGUAACAACUGGAAACAACCGAUAAGGCGAAAAGGUGAACACCACAGUUCACGCCAAGUGAUGCUAACCGGGUAAGUGCAGGAUUAAUAUAAUCAUCCGUAGUGAAGGAGUAAAAAAACGCCAUCCACGGGUUUGUUUAUAUAAACAAACGGCCAGCAGCAGAUGUGAGGUGAUGGUGAUGACGAUUCCAGCGGCGGAUGUGAUGAGCGGGAGCGACACAUCAUGCAACAAACAACACUCAAUGUGAUUACAGAUUAUAGCCGUCCCGGUAGCAGCAGUAGCCGUUAAACUGUUUGGACUGUACGAGAGACAAGACAAUCAUCUACCGCUGCUACUCGGGACGGUGAGCCUGCAAAAUGCCUACAGGCAAGAUACGCUGAGCAAACUAGCGUUCCAACAAUCUGCAGUACGAUUUAUCCAACUGCCAUUUUGAACUCGGUUAUUCGUCUUUCUUUCUCUAUUGCCUUGACUCUACCAAUCUCAGUCCUGUGUACAGGAAGGCGAUCUGGGAUGAGAUUUGAUCCCCGGUUCUGCCAUCAUUUCGCAUUAAAACCUCAAAAAGUCCUGGUCUUUCCGUAGCUGGAUAGUUAUUCCGGUGUACAGGAGGAUGCUCUGGAUACGAUUUAAUACCUGCUACUCGCGCUCGAAAGCCAACUAUUCCAUUGACGUCUGUUUCAUGGUUAUCUGAUUUUCUGUACGCGUAGAGUGUGUAAAACAUAUAGUAAAAUCACCGCGAGUGGAUUGUACUUUAUAGUAAAUCAAUUCAGGCGAAUCGUUACAAUUCGCCUUAACUGACUUUCACUCGGUACCACGCAAAAAAACUUACACAUGAUAGAAAUUAACCUUGCUAUUCUCAGCACUUCAGCGAUAUUUCCACGAAAAAAGCAUACGAUGAAAUCAGUUGUAGUAGAUGUUUGUUUACGAUGUAACGUGCAGCGGUUCUUAGAAGUGCGCCACAUUUCGAUUCAUCUGAUCUGAUCUGUGACCGUUGUGAUGAAGGGAUAGCUGUACCGACUUUCGGAAUCAACCAUUGAUCAGGUUAGGUCCAGGAACCGAAUUAACAAUUUUUGUGUGGUGUUUUCGUGUGUUCUGUCUAAAAUUCUCUUAGCUCUCAAUUUGAACAAAAACCCUUAAGGAUUUAGUAAAUUUAUGAGACAUAACAUUUUGCAACUUUUUGACUUGGUCAACGAAGGAACUGUCAAAAUGGUCCAUCGGUUUCGGUUUAUCUGCUUAUGAUUGCUUGACAAUGACUAGGGGCGGCACGGGGUAGAUACGACAGGGACCGGGGUUCAAAUCCUAUCCGGACUGCUUCCCC
Long non-coding RNA from Anopheles stephensi (Asian malaria mosquito), 6514 nucleotides. RefSeq lists it as uncharacterized. NCBI's taxonomy places the organism in Eukaryota, Metazoa, Arthropoda, Insecta, Diptera, Culicidae. The record is from RefSeq and is a predicted model, not a curated record. The transcript is spliced from 3 exons.